UAAGGAAUAUUGGUCAAUGGGCGGAAGCCUGAACCAGCCAUGCCGCGUGCAGGAAGACGGCCCUACGGGUUGUAAACUGCUUUUACAGGGGAAUAAACCUCAUUACGUGUAAUGAGCUGAAUGUACUCUGAGAAUAAGGAUCGGCUAACUCCGUGCCAGCAGCCGCGGUAAUACGGAGGAUCCAAGCGUUAUCCGGAUUUAUUGGGUUUAAAGGGUGCGUAGGUGGCCUGUUAAGUCAGGGGUGAAAGACGGUAGCUCAACUAUCGCAGUGCCCUUGAUACUGAUGGGCUUGAAUGAACUAGAGGUAGGCGGAAUGUGACAAGUAGCGGUGAAAUGCAUAGAUAUGUCACAGAACACCAAUUGCGAAGGCAGCUUACUAUGGUUUUAUUGACACUGAGGCACGAAAGCGUGGGGAUCAAACA
Molecule: ribosomal RNA, 422 nt
Filed under: uncultured Mucilaginibacter sp.
Lineage: Bacteria; Pseudomonadati; Bacteroidota; Sphingobacteriia; Sphingobacteriales; Sphingobacteriaceae
Description: bacterial SSU rRNA
Rfam family: Bacterial small subunit ribosomal RNA
Source: RNAcentral